Non-coding RNA from Emiliania huxleyi CCMP1516, 73 nucleotides. NCBI's taxonomy places the organism in Eukaryota, Haptophyta, Isochrysidales, Noelaerhabdaceae. The record is from Rfam.
GUCCCAUUAGCUCAGGGGUCAGAGCGAAGGUCUUAUGAGCCUUAGGCCGCGGGUUCGAUCCCCGCAUGGGACA